UACGUAGGGUGCAAGCGUUGUCCGGAAUUAUUGGGCGUAAAGAGCUCGUAGGCCGUUUGUCGCGUCUGCUGUGAAAACCCGAGGCUCAACCUCGGGCCUGCAGUGGGUACGGGCAGACUAGAGUGCGGUAGGGGAGAUUGGAAUUCCUGGUGUAGCGGUGGAAUGCGCAGAUAUCAGGAGGAACACCGGUGGCGAAGGCGGGUCUCUGGGCCGUAACUGACGCUGAGGAGCGAAAGCGUGGGGAGCGAACAGG
RNAcentral lists this ribosomal RNA (253 nucleotides) under uncultured bacterium. RNAcentral's name for it is "partial 16S ribosomal RNA". It matches the Rfam family "Bacterial small subunit ribosomal RNA", at positions 524 to 776 of the family's 1533-position model. The record is from RNAcentral.